AUGGCGACCACCACCGGCAGGACGAGCCCCGCGAUGAGCAUGAAGCUGCUGGUGGACGCCAAGGCGGGGCGCGUGCUGUUCGCGGAGGCCGGCAAGGACGUCGUCGACUUCCUCUUCUCCCUCCUCGCCCUGCCCGUCGGCACCGCCGUCAGACUGCUCGGGAGGCGCUCCGUGCCCGGCAGCGCCAGCGACCUCUACGCCAGCGUCCAGAGGCUCGACGCCGCCGCCUACCUCCUGCCCGGCGCCGACAUCGGCGCGCUCCUCCGCCCCGCCGUCCCCUCCAGCAUCCCCCUCCUCUGCUUGCCCGGCCCGUCGUCGUAG
Molecule: ribosomal RNA, 321 nt
Filed under: Triticum aestivum (bread wheat)
Lineage: Eukaryota; Viridiplantae; Streptophyta; Magnoliopsida; Poales; Poaceae
Description: partial small subunit ribosomal RNA
Source: RNAcentral